RNAcentral lists this transfer RNA (77 nucleotides) under Chitinophagaceae bacterium. Its description in RNAcentral is "tRNA-Arg". It matches the Rfam family "tRNA". From Rfam's summary of the family: Transfer RNA (tRNA) molecules are approximately 80 nucleotides in length. The record is from RNAcentral. Lineage: Bacteria; Pseudomonadati; Bacteroidota; Chitinophagia; Chitinophagales; Chitinophagaceae. RNAcentral also lists the same sequence under 5 other names.
GGUCCGGUAGCUCAGUUGGAUAGAGCAUCAGCCUUCUAAGCUGAGGGUCAUUGGUUCGAAUCCAAUCCGGAUCACCA